UACGUAGGGGGCAAGCGUUAUCCGGAUUUACUGGGUGUAAAGGGAGCGUAGGCGGCAGGGCAAGCCUGAUGUGAAAGCCCGGGGCUCAACCCCGGGACUGCAUUGGGAACUGCCCCGCUCGAGUGCCGGAGGGGCAGGCGGAAUUCCUAGUGUAGCGGUGAAAUGCGUAGAGAUCGGGAGGAACACCAGUGGCGAAGGCGGCCUACUGGGCUUUAACUGACGCUGAGGCACGAAAGCGUGGGUAUCGAACAGG
Molecule: ribosomal RNA, 253 nt
Filed under: uncultured Lachnospiraceae bacterium
Lineage: Bacteria; Bacillati; Bacillota; Clostridia; Lachnospirales; Lachnospiraceae
Description: partial 16S ribosomal RNA
Rfam family: Bacterial small subunit ribosomal RNA
Source: RNAcentral